RNAcentral lists this non-coding RNA (28 nucleotides) under Rattus norvegicus (Norway rat). Lineage: Eukaryota; Metazoa; Chordata; Mammalia; Rodentia; Muridae. The record is from RNAcentral.
UGAAACUAUUCCCAACAAGACACUAUGC